CCAGCAGCCGCGGUAAUACGGAGGGUGCGAGCGUUAAUCGGAAUAACUGGGCGUAAAGGGCACGCAGGCGGUUAUUUAAGUGAGGUGUGAAAGCCCCGGGCUUAACCUGGGAAUUGCAUUUCAGACUGGGUAACUAGAGUACUUUAGGGAGGGGUAGAAUUCCACGUGUAGCGGUGAAAUGCGUAGAGAUGUGGAGGAAUACCGAAGGCGAAGGCAGCCCCUUGGGAAUGUACUGACGCUCAUGUGCGAAAGCGUGGGGAGCAAACAGGAUUAGAUACCCUGGUAGUCCACGCUGUAAACGCUGUCGAUUUGGGGAUUGGGCUUUAAGCUUGGUGCCCGUAGCUAACGUGAUAAAUCGACCGCCUGGGGAGUACGGCCGCAAGGUUAAAACUCAAAUGAAUUGACGGGGGCCCGCACAAGCGGUGGAGCAUGUGGUUUAAUUCGAUGCAACGCGAAGAACCUUACCUACUCUUGACAUCCAUGGAAUCUUGUAGAGAUACGGGAGUGC
RNAcentral lists this ribosomal RNA (508 nucleotides) under uncultured bacterium. Its description in RNAcentral is "bacterial SSU rRNA". It matches the Rfam family "Bacterial small subunit ribosomal RNA", at positions 508 to 1017 of the family's 1533-position model. The record is from RNAcentral.